RNAcentral lists this ribosomal RNA (460 nucleotides) under uncultured bacterium. RNAcentral's name for it is "bacterial SSU rRNA". It matches the Rfam family "Bacterial small subunit ribosomal RNA", at positions 337 to 797 of the family's 1533-position model. The record is from RNAcentral.
UCCUACGGGGGGCAGCAGUGGGGAAUCUUGCGCAAUGGCCUAACGGCUGACGCAGCGACGCCGCGUGAGGGAUGACGCUCUUCGGAGUGUAAACCUCUUUUGCCCGGGACGAAUUGCCAACUUCAGUUGGCUUGACGGUACCGGGUGAAUAAGCACCGGCUAACUCCGUGCCAGCAGCCGCGGUAAUACGGGGGGUGCGAGCGUUGUCCGGAAUCACUGGGCGUAAAGGGCGCGUAGGUGGUCUUAUAAGGGUGUGGUGAAAGCCCGGGGCUCAACCCCGGGUCGGCCGUGCCGACUGUAAGACUAGAGUGCUGUAGGGGCAGGCGGAAUUCCGGGUGUAGCGGUGGAAUGCGUAGAGAUCCGGAGGAAGACCGGUGGCGAAGGCGGCCUGCUGGGCAGUUACUGACACUGAGGCGCGACAGCGUGGGGAGCAAACAGGAUUAGAUACCCCGGUAGUCCU